Myotis lucifugus (little brown bat) is the source of this 206-nucleotide small nucleolar RNA. Its record names the gene SNORA73. It matches the Rfam family "Small nucleolar RNA SNORA73 family". Rfam says of the family: U17 (SNORA73A and SNORA73B) also known as E1 belongs to the H/ACA class of small nucleolar RNAs (snoRNAs). Vertebrate U17 is intron-encoded and ranges in length from 200-230 nucleotides, longer than most snoRNAs. It is one of the most abundant snoRNAs in human cells and is essential for the cleavage of pre-rRNA within the 5' external transcribed spacer (ETS). Lineage: Eukaryota; Metazoa; Chordata; Mammalia; Chiroptera; Vespertilionidae. The record is from Ensembl.
CCAACAUGGACACCCCCGGGAGGUCGCUCUCCCCGGGGCUUUGUCCAGGUGGCGCAGGGGAGCACAGGGCUCUGCCCCAUGAUGUACGGUCCCUUUCCACAGCGUUGGAGAGAAAGCCAGGCCUUGGGCCUGCGCCUGCAUAUUCCUACAACUUCUCAGAGUCCUGUGGACAAUGACUGAGGAGAUAAACCAGGCAGGAAACAUCU